RNAcentral lists this ribosomal RNA (465 nucleotides) under uncultured bacterium. Its description in RNAcentral is "partial 16S ribosomal RNA". It matches the Rfam family "Bacterial small subunit ribosomal RNA", at positions 29 to 506 of the family's 1533-position model. The record is from RNAcentral.
ACGAACGCUGGCGGCGUGCUUCACCCCUGCCAGUCGAACGGAAAGGCCCUGCUUUUGUGGGGUGCUCGAGUGGCGAACGGGUGAGUAACACGUGAGUAACCUGCCCUUGACUUUGGGAUAACUUCAGGAAACUGGGGCUAAUACCGGAUAGGAGCUCCUGCUGCAUGGUGGGGGUUGGAAAGUUUCGGCGGUUGGGGAUGGACUCGCGGCUUAUCAGCUUGUUGGUGGGGUAGUGGCUUACAAGGCUUUGACGGGUAGCCGGCCUGAGAGGGUGACCGGCCACAUUGGGACUGAGAUACGGCCCAGACUCCUACGGGAGGCAGCAGUGGGGAAUAUUGCACAAUGGGCGGAAGCCUGAUGCAGCAACGCCGCGUGCGGGAUGACGGCCUUCGGGUUGUAAACCGCUUUCGCCUGUGACGAAGCGUGAGUGACGGUAAUGGGUAAAGAAGCACCGGCUAACUACGU